GCUUACGGCCACACCGGCCUGAGUACGCCUGUAUCUCGUCCGAUCUCGGAAGCUAAGCAGGGUCGUGCCUGGUUAGUACUUGGAUGGGAGACCGCCUGGGAAUACCAGGUGCUGUAAGCU
RNAcentral lists this ribosomal RNA (120 nucleotides) under Oncorhynchus mykiss (rainbow trout). Lineage: Eukaryota; Metazoa; Chordata; Actinopteri; Salmoniformes; Salmonidae. The record is from RNAcentral.